GAGCACGUAGGUGGGUUUGUAAGUCAGACGUGAAAGCCUUCUGUUCAACGGAAGAAUUGCAUCUGAAACUACAAACCUUGAGUGUAGGAGGGGAGAAUGGAACUUCUGGUGGAGCGGUGAAAUGCGUAGAUAUCAGAAGGAACGCCGGCGGCGAAAAGCGAUUCUCUGGCCUAUUACUGACACUCAGUGUGCGAAAGCAAGGGGAGCAAACGGGAUUAGAUACCCCGGUAGUCCUAGCCGUAAACGAUGGGCACUAAGUAGAGGGGUUUU
RNAcentral lists this ribosomal RNA (270 nucleotides) under uncultured Planctomycetales bacterium. RNAcentral describes it as "partial 16S ribosomal RNA". It matches the Rfam family "Bacterial small subunit ribosomal RNA", at positions 565 to 832 of the family's 1533-position model. Lineage: Bacteria; Pseudomonadati; Planctomycetota; Planctomycetia; Planctomycetales. The record is from RNAcentral.